ACACCAAACAUGCAGCCUGGACUCAGACACUCACAAACACACACAUCCCAAUGAAUCAAUGUCUCUUGUGUAGAGAGAGCGAGAGAAAGAGAGCUGUCAUUCAUUUAUUAAGGGGCCUAUUGUAACCCGUCACCCCCAUCAGUCUCCAAAUCCCCGUCUUCAAGCUGUGAGGGCCUCAGACAUUGCUUCUUCCACUCUGGCUCUCCAUGGCCUUCCAGGUUUUAGGGACUCACCGAGAGGUCGACAGGGCUCCUCUCCUGUAGAGGGCGUCACCGAGAGGUCGACAGGGCUACUCUCCUGUAGAGGGCGUCACCGAGAGGUCGACAGGGCUACUCUCCUGUAGAGGGCGUCACCGAGAGGUCGACAGGGCUCCUCUCCUGUAGAGGGCGUCACCGAGAGGUCGACAGGGCUACUCUCCUGUAGAGGGCGUCACCGAGAGGUCGACAGGGCUCCUCUCCUGUAGAGGGCGUCAACCGAGAGGUCGACAGGGCUACUCUCCUGUAGAGGGCGUCACCGAGAGGUCGACAGGGCUCCUCUCCUGUAGAGGGCGUCACCGAGAGGUCGACAGGGCUCCUCUCCUGUAGAGGGCGUCACCGAGAGGUCGACAGCGCUCCUCUCCUGUAGAGGGCGUCACCGGGAGGUCGACAGCUCUCAUUUUCUGUAGAAUGCGUCAUGGGGAGGUAGACAGCGCUCAUCUUCUCCCGAGAGCGGCACGAGCGGGAUUCAGAGAUACAGCUACCAGUGAAGCAAGGACCUCUGGGAUGGUUACGAUUCACCUGAACGGGACAGAGUUCCCUGGUUGAUGGUACAUGAAACUGUCCAUUGUCAGUGUGUGGCGGUAGCUCCAGCACCAGUCCGUCGUAAUGACCAGGUUUACACCAGUUCUCUGCUUUGAAGUUCAGGGUGAGGGAUCCGGAUCUGCACUUUUAGCCGAUUUUGUAAUUUUAUCACUGACAUACUGACUAAUUAUGGUGCAUUGUCGGGAAACGUUUGUUGGUGUGAAAAGAGUCUCUGGCUCAUUAACAUAUUUUAAAGCGUGUCUUGUAUAAUCCAAAUUUGGGGCACCCGUUAGUGAGAGUUCUGUAGCAAUUAUUAUUCAUGUAUAUAUUAUAAUAUUAUUA
Molecule: long non-coding RNA, 1121 nt
Organism: Oncorhynchus tshawytscha (Chinook salmon)
Lineage: Eukaryota; Metazoa; Chordata; Actinopteri; Salmoniformes; Salmonidae
Exons: 3
Source: RefSeq, a predicted model, not a curated record